CCUACGGGGGGCAGCAGUGAGGAAUAUUGGUCAAUGGGCGCGAGCCUGAACCAGCCACGCCGCGUGAAGGAUGACUGUCCUACGGGUGGUAAACUUCUUUUAUAAAGGAAUAAAGUGAGGCACGUGUGCCUUUUUGUAUGUACUUUAUGAAUAAGGAUCGGACAACUCCGUGCCAGCAGCCGCGGUAAUACGGAGGAUCCGAGCGUUAUCCGGAUUUAUUGGGUUUAAAGGGAGCGUAGAUGGGUUGUUAAGUCAGUUGUGAAAGUUUGCGGCUCAACCGUAAAAUUGCAAUUGAUACUGGCAGUCUUGAGUACAGUUGAGGUAGGCGGAAUUCGUGGUGUAGCGGUGAAAUGCUUAGAGAUCACGAAGAACUCCGAUUGCGAAGGCAGCUUACUAGACUGCCACUGACAUUGAUGCGCGAAAGUGUGGGUAGCAAACAGGAUUAGAUACCCGGGUAGUC
Molecule: ribosomal RNA, 460 nt
Filed under: uncultured bacterium
Lineage: Bacteria
Description: partial 16S ribosomal RNA
Rfam family: Bacterial small subunit ribosomal RNA
Source: RNAcentral